This 585-nucleotide ribosomal RNA is filed under the name Cladophora sp. ZZ-2016. Its description in RNAcentral is "eukaryotic LSU rRNA". It matches the Rfam family "Eukaryotic large subunit ribosomal RNA", at positions 33 to 653 of the family's 3401-position model. The record is from RNAcentral. Lineage: Eukaryota; Viridiplantae; Chlorophyta; Ulvophyceae; Cladophorales; Cladophoraceae.
AAUAAGCAUAUCAAUAAGCGGAGGAAAAGAAACCAACAGGGAUUCCCUUAGUAACGGCGAGCGAAAAGGGAUGAGCCCAGCAUGUAAAUCUCCGGUUUCCGGCGAAUUGUAGUCUGGAGUAGCAACUCCUGGUGCCGUGCCGGCCCAAGCAUCUUGGAAUAGAUCGCCUCAGAGGGUGAGAGCCCCGUAGGUCGGUACGAGCUCCUACACGGAGUGCUCACGCAGAGUCGGGUUGUUUGGGAAUGCAGCCCCAAUUGGGUGGUAAACCCCAUCUAAGGCUAAAUACCUGUGGGAGACCGAUAGCAAAAAAGUACCUCGAGGGAACGAUGAAAAGACCGCUGGCAAGCGAGUGAAAGAGUGCAUGAAAUUGUAUAGUGGGAAGGGAUGGCCUGGCGUAUUGCCCGCGGGUAUACACUGCUCCUUGAGCUCUUGAAUACACCGUGGGCUGGCUGGUGCCGACACCUGCGCUUGCAAAUCCCCAAACUAAGGUGUUUGGCUCUUCAAGCGCGGGUGUUGAGGUUGAUCGUCGCUUUGUUUUAAACUGCGUCGACAAAGCACCAGCUGAAGCCUGUCCAUCUACCCGCG